CCUACGGGGGGCUGCAGUGGGGAAUAUUGGACAAUGGGCGCAAGCCUGAUCCAGCCAUGCCGCGUGGGUGAAGAAGGCCUUAGGGUUGUAAACCCCUUUCAGCGGGGAAGAUAAUGACGGUACCCGCAGAAGAAGUCCCGGCUAACUCCGUGCCAGCAGCCGCGGUAAUACGGAGGGGACUAGCGUUGUUCGGAAUUACUGGGCGUAAAGCGCACGUAGGCGGAUUGUUAAGUCAGGGGUGAAAUCCCGAGGCUCAACCUCGGAACUGCCUUUGAUACUGGCAAUCUCGAGUCCGGAAGAGGUGAGUGGAAUUCCUAGUGUAGAGGUGAAAUUCGUAGAUAUUAGGAAGAACACCAGUGGCGAAGGCGGCUCACUGGUCCGGUACUGACGCUGAGGUGCGAAAGCGUGGGGAGCAAACAGGAUUAGAUACCCUUGUAGUCCC
Molecule: ribosomal RNA, 442 nt
Filed under: uncultured Hyphomicrobiaceae bacterium
Lineage: Bacteria; Pseudomonadati; Pseudomonadota; Alphaproteobacteria; Hyphomicrobiales; Hyphomicrobiaceae
Description: bacterial SSU rRNA
Rfam family: Bacterial small subunit ribosomal RNA
Source: RNAcentral